CAGUCGCCGCGGGAAUACGUAGGGUGCAAGCGUUAAUCGGAAUUACUGGGCGUAAAGCGUGCGCAGGCGGUUUGUUAAGACAGAUGUGAAAUCCCCGGGCUCAACCUGGGAACUGCAUUUGUGACUGGCAAGCUAGAGUGUGGCAGAGGGGGGUGGAAUUCCGCGUGUAGCAGUGAAAUGCGUAGAUAUGCGGAGGAACACCGAUGGCGAAGGCAGCCCCCUGGGCCAACACUGACGCUCAUGCACGAAAGCGUGGGGGGCAAACAGGAUUAGAUACCCCAGUAGUCCCUGUCUCUUAUAC
Molecule: ribosomal RNA, 301 nt
Filed under: uncultured bacterium
Lineage: Bacteria
Description: partial 16S ribosomal RNA
Rfam family: Bacterial small subunit ribosomal RNA
Source: RNAcentral